AAAUCCACCUUCUCCAAUUUUGUUUGCAUUUUCAAAAUUGUUAGUUGCAGCUUUAAUUUGCUUCAAGGUAAAGGAAGUUGUUUGAAUUUCCAGUCCUUCAUGGUCUUUCUGCCUCUUACUCUUUGCUUUUGAAUAGCGUCUGUGCCAAAGGAUACCCAGUGCUAACAAUAUCAGAAAUGAUCCUGUCACUCCGAUGACAAUAGGUGCAACUUUUCUGCCUCCAGAUUGAGGGUUGAAGUUGGGAUUCACUGAGAUAGUUGAUAUUAGGGGGCCAUAGUUUCCAAUAUUUGGAAUCCGGGUGGUGCCUUUGCCAGCCCAAUAGAAGCGGAUCUCCAAAAUACCAUUUGAAACAUUAACAUCAUACUUUUUUGUUAUUGGCGUAAGAACAGCAGAGGCUUCACUUUUAAUAUUGAAAUCUUUCUCCAUUAAAAUAUCCUGAAUAUAGAUAU
Molecule: unclassified non-coding RNA, 449 nt
Filed under: Hevea brasiliensis (rubber tree)
Lineage: Eukaryota; Viridiplantae; Streptophyta; Magnoliopsida; Malpighiales; Euphorbiaceae
Source: RNAcentral